CACYGCGGUUAUACGGGAGGCCCAAGUUGAUAGAAAUCGGCGUAAAGGGUGGUUAAGAACAAGCUUAAAAUUAAAGCCGAACGCCUUCAAGGCUGUUAUACGCAUCCGAAGGUAAGAAGCCCAAUCACGAAAGUAGCUUUAUAUAUUCUGACCCCACGAAAGCUAAGACACAAACUGGGAUUAGAUACCCCACUAUGCUUAGCCGUAAACAUUGACAGUAAAAUACAAUUUCUGUCCGCCUGGGUACUACGAGCAUUAGCUUAAAACCCAAAGGACUUGGCGGUGCUUUAGACCCACCUAGAGGAGCCUGUUCUAGAACCGAUAAUCCCCGUUCAACCUCACCCUUCCUUGCUCGUCCCGCCUAUAUACCACCGUCGCCAGCUUACCCUGUGAAGGCUAAAAAGUAAGCGAAAUUGGCACUGCCCAGAACGUCAGGUCGAGGUGUAGCGAAUGGAGGGGGAAGAAAUGGGCUACAUUCCCUUUUAAAUAUAGGGUACUACGAAAGAUGCACUGAAACCGCGCAUCUGAAGGAGGAUUUAGUAGUAAGCGGAAAGUAGAGUGUUCCACUGAAACCGGCUCUUAAGCGCGCACACACCGCCCGUCACUCUCCCCAAAACCCCCCUAAACACUAACUAAUCCACUAAAACCAUAGAGGGGAGGCAAGUCGUAA
RNAcentral lists this ribosomal RNA (670 nucleotides) under Argyrops filamentosus (soldier bream). RNAcentral's name for it is "partial 12S ribosomal RNA". It matches the Rfam family "Bacterial small subunit ribosomal RNA", at positions 513 to 1491 of the family's 1533-position model. The record is from RNAcentral. Lineage: Eukaryota; Metazoa; Chordata; Actinopteri; Spariformes; Sparidae.